CCCAGCAAGUUUAAAUACAAUAAUAUAAGGAUAUAUCAUGAUUGAAGAGUAUGAAUAAUAAGCUGGCUAUAAUUCAUCAAUAUAAUUGAGAACUAGCAGGAACAAACUUUUGACUGAACAGGUUUUAAACAUGAACAAACAUUUCUGGACAAACCGGUAAUGAAGGUGAUCAGCCUUUCAUACCUGACUUAUACAUGCAAGAUGUACAGAGUACAAUUUUCAUGGCAAUCAGCAAUGAUUAACCAUAAGCUUGAAUAAAACACUCUUAUUAGAGUUAAGUAAGAACAAACUUGCCUGAACCGUUGAUUACCGCAACGCAAUUUAUAUCGCUUUACCCGAAGACCUAAUAUUAAU
This 354-nucleotide long non-coding RNA is filed under the name Panax ginseng (ginseng). Its description in RNAcentral is "long non-coding RNA (PGIN_LNC001367)". The record is from RNAcentral. Lineage: Eukaryota; Viridiplantae; Streptophyta; Magnoliopsida; Apiales; Araliaceae.